CAGAUUGAACGCUGGCGGCAGGCCUAAUACAUGCAAGUCGAACGGUAACAUAGGAAAAGCUUGCUUUCCUGAUGACGAGUGGCGGACGGGUGAGUAAAGUUGGGAAGCUACCUGAUAGAGGGGGACAACAGUUGGAAACGACUGCUAAUACCGCAUACAGCCUGAGGGUGAAAGCAGCAAUGCGCUAUCAGAUGCGCCCAAAUGGGAUUAGCUAGUAGGUGAGGUAAAGGCUCACCUAGGCGACGAUCCCUAGCUGGUCUGAGAGGAUGAUCAGCCACAUUGGGACUGAGACACGGCCCAGACUCCUACGGGAGGCAGCAGUAGGGAAUAUUGCACAAUGGAGGAAACUCUGAUGCCAGCCAUGCCGCGUGUGUGAAGAAGGCCUUCGGGUUGUAAAGCACUUUCGGAAAGGGGAGGAGAAUGACGUUACCCUCAGAAGAAGCACCGGCCUAACUCCGUGCCAGCAGCGGC
This 471-nucleotide ribosomal RNA is filed under the name uncultured bacterium. Its description in RNAcentral is "bacterial SSU rRNA". It matches the Rfam family "Bacterial small subunit ribosomal RNA", at positions 25 to 518 of the family's 1533-position model. The record is from RNAcentral.